This is a long non-coding RNA of Hippocampus comes (tiger tail seahorse), 443 nucleotides long. RefSeq lists it as uncharacterized. Lineage: Eukaryota; Metazoa; Chordata; Actinopteri; Syngnathiformes; Syngnathidae. The transcript is spliced from 2 exons. The record is from RefSeq and is a predicted model, not a curated record.
CCGCCAACGCAGCUGGAGUUGCACAUGAAGUUGUACAAGAUGGUGGUGAAUUCCGUGCCCACCUGAUGGGAAACGGCAAGUGAGGUGUGGUUCACCCACACGCGUCGGAAGCCAGAAGAAAUCGACAAGACAUACAGUUGCAGAUUACAAACACAAGCUCAGGCCGUGAAUUCAACAGAAGCUGCUCAUGCGGAAAUAAAAAUCGAAUGAAAAACACAAUUGUCGUUUUUGUUUACCAAGGUGUGGUCAUGUUGUGGAAAAAAAUCAAAAUGACAAGAAAUGACAUUUCCACCAGACAUGGACGGAAGCUUGUCACACAAAAAUAAACAUCAAACUACAAACAAGAUGCGUUUUGAAAUCCAAAUGACAGAAAUGACAUUUAAUUUUAGUUGGUGCGCAACGGGACAGUUGCACAGAAUCCGAAAGAAGCUACAAACGCAAAA